RNAcentral lists this ribosomal RNA (400 nucleotides) under uncultured bacterium. Its description in RNAcentral is "bacterial SSU rRNA". It matches the Rfam family "Bacterial small subunit ribosomal RNA", at positions 29 to 412 of the family's 1533-position model. The record is from RNAcentral.
AUUGAACGCUGGCGGCGUGCCUAACACAUGCAAGUCGAGCGGGAAAGUUCCCUUCGGGGAGCGAGUACAGCGGCGAACGGGUGAGUAACACGUAGGUAACCUACCCUGGAGAUCGGGAUAACCUGCCGAAAGGCGGGCUAAUACCGGAUAAGACCACGAGGGCUGCGGCCCUUGAGGAAAAAGAUGGCCUCUGCUUGCAAGCUAUCACUCUGGGAUGGGCCUGCGCGCCAUAGCUAGUUGGUGAGGUAACGGCUCACCAAGGCUGAGAUGGCUAGCUGGUCUGAGAGGAUGGCCAGCCACACUGGGACUGAGACACGGCCCAGACUCCUACGGGAGGCAGCAGUGGGAAUAUUGCGCAAUGGGCGAAAGCCUGACGCAGCGACGCCGCGUGGGUGAUGAA